RNAcentral lists this ribosomal RNA (585 nucleotides) under Psychrobacter sp. RNAcentral describes it as "bacterial SSU rRNA". It matches the Rfam family "Bacterial small subunit ribosomal RNA", at positions 349 to 927 of the family's 1533-position model. Lineage: Bacteria; Pseudomonadati; Pseudomonadota; Gammaproteobacteria; Moraxellales; Moraxellaceae. The record is from RNAcentral.
CAGCAGUGGGGAUAUUGGACAAUGGGGGAAACCCUGAUCCAGCCAUGCCGCGUGUGUGAAGAAGGCCUUUUGGUUGUAAAGCACUUUAAGCAGUGAAGAAGACUCUUCGGUUAAUACCCGGAGACGAUGACAUUAGCUGCAGAAUAAGCACCGGCUAACUCUGUGCCAGCAGCCGCGGUAAUACAGAGGGUGCAAGCGUUAAUCGGAAUUACUGGGCGUAAAGCGAGCGUAGGUGGCUUGAUAAGUCAGAUGUGAAAUCCCCGGGCUUAACCUGGGAACUGCAUCUGAAACUGUUAGGCUAGAGUAGGUGAGAGGGAAGUAGAAUUUCAGGUGUAGCGGUGAAAUGCGUAGAGAUCUGAAGGAAUACCGAUGGCGAAGGCAGCUUCCUGGCAUCAUACUGACACUGAGGCUCGAAAGCGUGGGUAGCAAACAGGAUUAGAUACCCUGGUAGUCCACGCCGUAAACGAUGUCUACUAGUCGUUGGGUCCCUUGAGGACUUAGUGACGCAGCUAACGCAAUAAGUAGACCGCCUGGGGAGUACGGCCGCAAGGUUAAAACUCAAAUGAAUUGACGGGGCCCGCCCCA